AACGAACGCUGGCGGCAUGCCUAACACAUGCAAGUCGAACGGGACCAUCGGGCUUGCUGGUGCACGCGUCGGCGACCCGUGGAGACCUGCCCAUGGGUCCGCCGUAACUUCCCGGAUGACGUCCUAAUACCGGCUAUUGUACUCCGAACAAAGAGUUAUCGCCUUUGGGUGGGCUUGGGUGGGAUUAGCAGGUUGGUAGGGUAAAAGCAUACAAAGGGGACGUUACAUAGCUGGUCUGAGAGGAUGAUCAGCCACACUGGGACUGAGACACGGUCGAGAAUCCUACGCGAGGGAGGAGAGGGGAAUAUUGGACUGUGGGCGAAAGCCUGAUGCAGCAAUGCCUGGUGAGUGAUGAAGGUCGUAGGGUUGUGAAGCUCUUUUACACGUGGUGAUAAUGACAGUACCGGGAGAAUAAGCACCGGCUAACUUCGUG
RNAcentral lists this ribosomal RNA (433 nucleotides) under uncultured bacterium. RNAcentral's name for it is "partial 16S ribosomal RNA". It matches the Rfam family "Bacterial small subunit ribosomal RNA", at positions 29 to 507 of the family's 1533-position model. The record is from RNAcentral.